RNAcentral lists this long non-coding RNA (599 nucleotides) under Rattus norvegicus (Norway rat). Its description in RNAcentral is "long non-coding RNA NONRATT028156". Lineage: Eukaryota; Metazoa; Chordata; Mammalia; Rodentia; Muridae. The record is from RNAcentral.
GUGGGGUUCGGGUUGCUCUGGUCUGAGAGCAGAGUACCUCUAGGGGUCAGUAUGGUCUAAUCUGCACAAGAGACAGCCUGGCUGGGCGGCCACAGCCUUGCAGGCAGGCUGUAGCCUGAGGCUUGGCAGGAGAGCAGAGGUUAUCUGUCCAGCAGGUUUCAGGUUUUCACUCCAUGGAAGCUGGCAGCUUCCUUUCCUUCAACCGUAUGUUCAGGAACGCCAAGCCUACAGAAAUGCCGCAUGUAGUGAUUGUCCCUUCCCCCACUGUUUUGUCUCAUUAGUUCUUCUCGAUAUGGAACCAUUUAAAAUUAAUUUGUCCCCCUGAGAAGUAGGUUGAGGCACGGCAGGUCACUCUUCACACUUGAACUUAGCGUACUCUGUGAAUAAGGACAUUCUUCCAUAUCUCUGAAAUACACUAGCCAAUCUAAAACAAAAAUCACCAACCCUUCUGCCAGGCUUGGUACAUGUCUGUAACCCCAGAACUGGGGAGGCAGGCAGAUGAGCCUUAUCAGCCAGACUGUGUACGGAGAUCCUGUUUGGAAAAGAAGAUUGAUCAAGAAUCCAUGUUAAUAUUCCCUAUUAAAACAAGUUACCCAAAA